UGGGGAAUAUUGCACAAUGGGCGCAAGCCUGAUGCAGCCAUGCCGCGUGUAUGAAGAAGGCCUUCGGGUUGUAAAGUACUUUCAGCGAGGAGGAAGGCAGCAUGCUUAAUACGUAUGCUGAUUGACGUUACUCGCAGAAGAAGCACCGGCUAACUCCGUGCCAGCAGCCGCGGUAAUACGGAGGGUGCAAGCGUUAAUCGGAAUUACUGGGCGUAAAGCGCACGCAGGCGGUUUGUCAAGUCGGAUGUGAAAUCCCCGGGC
Molecule: ribosomal RNA, 261 nt
Filed under: uncultured Enterobacteriaceae bacterium
Lineage: Bacteria; Pseudomonadati; Pseudomonadota; Gammaproteobacteria; Enterobacterales; Enterobacteriaceae
Description: partial 16S ribosomal RNA
Rfam family: Bacterial small subunit ribosomal RNA
Source: RNAcentral